Molecule: RNA transcript, 2121 nt
Organism: Salvia hispanica
Lineage: Eukaryota; Viridiplantae; Streptophyta; Magnoliopsida; Lamiales; Lamiaceae
Gene name: transcription factor bHLH130-like
Source: RefSeq, a predicted model, not a curated record
UGCUGCAUCACACGCACGCACGCACUUCCUUCCACCUCGACUUUGCAAUUCGCUCAAUUAAUCUCUCUCUACCUACAUUAGUUUUGCACCAAAAAGGAUUCGAUCGAUCCAAUCUAUCCACCCACCGUUUCCACCACCAUUCAAUUCAAUCCCAUUACCUUUUCCAAUUAAAAUUCCAUACGAGUUUCCAUUUAUGUUUUCCAAUUAAAACCUCUUUCUCUCCAACUAUGUACACCUCAGACGCCAUUUCCAGAGACUUCCUCCACUCCAAUCCCUCUCACACCACCAAUUUCAAGCAUGACGCCGAUUUCUUCACCAAUCAUGAUCAACAUCAACACCAGCAGCAGCAGAGCUCCGGAUUAGCUCGAUACCGCUCGGCGCCGAGCUCCUUCCUCGCGGCGCUUCUCGAUUCCAACGCCGAUAAUAACAGCAGCAGCGGCGAUGAAUCGGACGCUUUCUUCUCCGCGCUCAUGGAAGCGCCGCCGCGCGAUCUCAAUCCCAAGAGUAGUAUGAAGCGGGAAGAUGAGGCGGAUCCGGAGCCCCGAACCGCGCAAAACGGGUACCCGGGCGGGUAUGAUGGAUCUUACUCUGUGGGGAUGGAGCAUCAGAGGUUGAGAGAUCAAAAUGGGAAUAGGUCUAAUCUGCUCCGCCAAAGCAGCUCUCCUGCUGGAUUCUUCAAUGGUUUUGGUUUAAUGGGAGAGGCAGGAAACUACAGAGUUCACAAUCCUGCAGAAGACAGUUCAUCAGCUUGUGGUUUAAGUAGUUCCAUGAAUUUGUCAUCGGCUGCAUCUUCUAGCUCGAGAUUCAUGCCCAGCAUACCCGAAACUGGAAAUGAGAACGCAUUCAGCCCUGAAAAUGGUCGUCUGAGAAACGGGGCUGCCUUCCAUCAUGAUUCUUGGAAUGAAACAUCUUUCAACAGUUUGAAAAGAAACAGAGAUGGUGAUGCGAAGAUGUUUUCUGAUUUCAAUGGAUUGGAGAAUGAGAAUGGAGAAGCCAGGAAAAAGUCCUCUGGUUUAGUAUCGCAUUUUAGCUUGCCAAAGACUUCCACGGAGAUGGCUGCAGUUGAGAACUUCCUGCAGUUCCAACAAGAGACGACCACUCCUUGUCAAGUUCGAGCAAAAAGGGGUUUCGCCACUCAUCCUAGAAGCAUUGCUGAAAGGAAUAGACGAACACGGAUUAGUAAGAACAUGAAGAAGUUGCAAGAUCUUUUCCCUAAUAUGGAUAAGCAAACGAACACGGCUGAUAUGUUGGACUUGGCAGUUGAUUACAUCAAAGAGCUGCAGAAAGAAAUGAAGGUGCUCAACGAUGUGAGAGCAAGAUGCGUUUGUUUAGGUAAACCUCACCAAACAAGUCCUUCCAAGUAGAUGCUUCUGGCAAGACGAAAACCAAGUGCAGUAGAUGAGUAUAUCCUUCAGUCUUGAUUCACCUGCGACCUCACCACCCACGAGUCAAAGCCCGUGGCCUUUUCCCUAUUGUUCUAUGUAUGCGUGUUGCAAGUUCCCACCCUCCAGGAAGAGGAGGGGGGAGAAAAAGGAGGACAGACUAAACUCCAUGUUGUAGUAUUAUUAUUUAAACUGGAAAUAAUGGAUCUGCUAACGUGAGCUCAAUCAACAAUAUAGAGAAACUAUUUGUGCAGCAAGAUUAACAAGAAGAAGACAACAGUUACUAGAAAAUUCAAAACAAGACAGAAAAUGCAGAGUGGUCGAUCGAUGGCAGCACAUAUAUACAUGGCUCAAAGUUGGCAGUGCACUUCUCCGGGAGCUGAGUAGCCAUGGUGCGAUCAACCCCAGAAAUGGGAGGCCCGUUAACGAGCACGCAGAGACAAGGUUGGCCUAGCGCUUUGAUGGAAGCACAGCAGGCCUCGGUUGGGGGGAUGGGGCUGAAGGGAGCAACUGCUGACCUGCACGGGAUGAGCUGAACGAGAGCCGAGAAGAAAGUGCUACCACAGGGAUGGGCUGUGCUUUCCUGUGCCAUCACCACCACCACCAACAUCAAGCAAGCUAGCUUCAUAUUCAUGUUCAUUUUGGCUGCCUUUGUCUUUGGGAUCAUCACUCUUGGCAUAUAUAUAGUGCAGCCUUCAGGGGAGGGAUGAUGCCUUUUGGUGCUUCUCUCCUAACUCCA